This is a long non-coding RNA of Labeo rohita (rohu), 651 nucleotides long. RefSeq lists it as uncharacterized. NCBI's taxonomy places the organism in Eukaryota, Metazoa, Chordata, Actinopteri, Cypriniformes, Cyprinidae. The transcript is spliced from 3 exons. The record is from RefSeq and is a predicted model, not a curated record.
ACAAUGUGUGUAGCACGAUGUGCCUUUUCGUUACCACGAUUCAAAACAAAUGAUUCGCAAAGGUUUCGAAGCUUCAGGAAACAGUGCUUCGAAAGCGCACAUCACUGGUAGCAGGUAAACAUUAAAAACCGCUCAGACCACAUGGGAAGUGGCGGUUUUAUAGGAGCAGGUGCAGAUCUUCAGUAAUCCCUCACGUGUGUGUACAGUUUGACACCAUCUAGUUUCCUUAAGUUUCAGUAGGUUUCCUGACGUGAACCCUGAACAUCUUCUCCAUCACUUGGCACCUCUGGACAUAGCCGAGUUUAGUGGAGGAACUCGCUACAAGAAUCCAACACAAGGUUGUGAUCUCCGUAGUGUCCUUUUUUCCUACGGGAAACAAGCACUUUCCCAGUGUUCUCAAGAUGCCCAGCCGCUCCACCGAGGAAAGGCCCGGCUGCAGGAAACCCUGCCUGUGACAGGUCAGUUCUUGGAUGUUGGAAGGUCACGAAGAGGUGAGCUGCACUUAUGUUAACACUUUUGGCAUGUUGUUGACUCUUGGCUAACUAUCCCUCUAUAUUCCUUAGAUGUUUUUUUAAUCAGUUCUUUCAAAAACACUGUAUAGUCGCACAUAAGAUGGCAAAUAUUUAAAUGAUGAAUAGUCAAUGCAAUAUA